UNAGGCGGGCUGGAUCCCUCCUGCUGGGCACUGCUUCACGGCGUGCGCAGUAGGGGCCGGCCCUGCUGAACUAUUCACCCGUGUCUUUUGCGUACCUCUUGUUUCCUGGGCGGGCUCGCCCGCCACCAGGACCAACCAUAAACCUUUUUGUAAUAGCAAUCCGCGUCAGUAACAACGUAAUUAAUUACAACUUUCAACAACGGAUCUCUUGGUUCUGGCAUCGAUGAAGAACGCAGCGAAAUGCGAUACGUAGUGUGAAUUGCAGAAUUCAGUGAAUCAUCGAAUCUUUGAACGCACAUUGCGCCCUUUGGUAUUCCAAAGGGCAUGCCUGUUCGAGCGUCAUUUGUACCCUCAAGCUUUGCUUGGUGUUGGGCGUCUUUGUCUCCAGCUUGCUGGAGACUCGCCUUAAAGUCAUUGGCAGCCGGCCUACUGGUUUCGGAGCGCAGCACAAGUCGCGCUCUUCAUCCAGCCAAGGUCAGCGUCCAGCAAGCCUUUUUUCAACCUUUGACCUCGGAUCAGGUAGGGAUACCCGCUGAACUUAAGCAUAUCAUAGGCCGGGAGGAAA
RNAcentral lists this ribosomal RNA (565 nucleotides) under Alternaria abundans. Its description in RNAcentral is "eukaryotic LSU rRNA". The stretch from base 189 to 342 matches the Rfam family "5.8S ribosomal RNA". The record is from RNAcentral. Lineage: Eukaryota; Fungi; Ascomycota; Dothideomycetes; Pleosporales; Pleosporaceae.